UACGGGGGGGGCAAGCGUUGUUCGGAAUUACUGGGCGUAAAGGGCUCGUAGGCGGCCAACUAAGUCAGACGUGAAAUCCCUCGGCUUAACCGGGGAACUGCGUCUGAUACUGGAUGGCUUGAGGUUGGGAGAGGGAUGCGGAAUUCCAGGUGUAGCGGUGAAAUGCGUAGAUAUCUGGAGGAACACCAGAGGCGAAGGCGGCGACCUGGACAAGUACUGACACUCAACUACGAAAGCGUGGGGAGCAAACAGG
Molecule: ribosomal RNA, 253 nt
Filed under: uncultured bacterium
Lineage: Bacteria
Description: partial 16S ribosomal RNA
Rfam family: Bacterial small subunit ribosomal RNA
Source: RNAcentral